AUCUAGGCAAUGAUUGGAAGCAGUAAAUAGCUUGUAUACUUUUAGAGAGCCAGUGGGUGGUGCAAACUGGCAGAUACAACUGUUGAACUCGUCCAUGAGCUACGACCUGAAAUUAGAGUAGGGAAGUCGGAAGUCUCCGUUAAAAGACUGGCAAAUGAUUUGUCGUUAAGUGGAAUGUUUCAGCAAUGGACAUUCAAUUUAGAGUGGUACCGCGAGUUUAACCUCGUCUCUAUG
Molecule: non-coding RNA, 234 nt
Filed under: Solibacillus silvestris
Lineage: Bacteria; Bacillati; Bacillota; Bacilli; Caryophanales; Caryophanaceae
Description: T-box sequence
Rfam family: T-box leader
About the family: Uncharged tRNA acts as the effector for transcription antitermination of genes in the T-box leader family.
Source: RNAcentral